RNAcentral lists this ribosomal RNA (615 nucleotides) under Escherichia coli. RNAcentral describes it as "partial 23S ribosomal RNA". It matches the Rfam family "Bacterial large subunit ribosomal RNA", at positions 577 to 1191 of the family's 2925-position model. Lineage: Bacteria; Pseudomonadati; Pseudomonadota; Gammaproteobacteria; Enterobacterales; Enterobacteriaceae. The record is from RNAcentral.
GAGCACAGAGCAAUCUGUGUGACUGCGUACCUUUUGUAUAAUGGGUCAGCGACUUAUAUUCUGUAGCAAGGUUAACCGAAUAGGGGAGCCGAAGGGAAACCGAGUCUUAACUGGGCGUUAAGUUGCAGGGUAUAGACCCGAAACCCGGUGAUCUAGCCAUGGGCAGGUUGAAGGUUGGGUAACACUAACUGGAGGACCGAACCGACUAAUGUUGAAAAAUUAGCGGAUGACUUGUGGCUGGGGGUGAAAGGCCAAUCAAACCGGGAGAUAGCUGGUUCUCCCCGAAAGCUAUUUAGGUAGCGCCUCGUGAAUUCAUCUCCGGGGGUAGAGCACUGUUUCGGCAAGGGGGUCAUCCCGACUUACCAACCCGAUGCAAACUGCGAAUACCGGAGAAUGUUAUCACGGGAGACACACGGCGGGUGCUAACGUCCGUCGUGAAGAGGGAAACAACCCAGACCGCCAGCUAAGGUCCCAAAGUCAUGGUUAAGUGGGAAACGAUGUGGGAAGGCCCAGACAGCCAGGAUGUUGGCUUAGAAGCAGCCAUCAUUUAAAGAAAGCGUAAUAGCUCACUGGUCGAGUCGGCCUGCGCGGAAGAUGUAACGGGGCUAAACCAUG